This 429-nucleotide ribosomal RNA is filed under the name Pseudomonadota bacterium. Its description in RNAcentral is "Proteobacteria bacterium partial 16S ribosomal RNA". It matches the Rfam family "Bacterial small subunit ribosomal RNA", at positions 355 to 776 of the family's 1533-position model. Lineage: Bacteria; Pseudomonadati; Pseudomonadota. The record is from RNAcentral.
UGGGGAAUAUUGGACAAUGGGCGAAAGCCUGAUCCAGCCAUGCCGCGUGUGUGAAGAAGGUCUUCGGAUUGUAAAGCACUUUAAGUUGGGAGGAAGGGCAGUAAGCGAAUACCUUGCUGUUUUGACGUUACCGACAGAAUAAGCACCGGCUCACUCUGUGCCAGCAGCCGCGGUAAUACAGAGGGUGCAAGCGUUAAUCGGAAUUACUGGGCGUAAAGCGCGCGUAGGUGGUUCGUUAAGUUGAAUGUGAAAGCCCCGGGCUCAACCUGGGAACUGCAUCCAAAACUGGCGAGCUAGAGUAGGGCAGAGGGUGGUGGAAUUUCCUGUGUAGCGGUGAAAUGCGUAGAUAUAGGAAGGAACACCAGUGGCGAAGGCGACCACCUGGGCUCAUACUGACACUGAGGUGCGAAAGCGUGGGGAGCAAACAGG